GGCAGCCAGGCCUUGGAUGAUCCUCGAGGUGACUCAAGCCUUCUAGACCUUCUGAAGUUUCAGUGGCACAAGCCUACUCUGGAGACAUCAGUAUAGAGUUGGCAGGAAGAAUUAAAUAAAUUAUGUAAUCUAGCACGAAGUGAAUAUACCAAGCUGGUAUAGGUAACAGAGAAAGCCAACUGAGUGUUUCUUGUUCAGCCUUCAAGAACUGACAGUUAAGUUCAGAAUUUGAAGCCAAGUGGUGGUGGCGCACACCUUUAAUCCCAGCACUUGGGAAGCAGAGGCAGGUGGAUCUCUGUGAGUUCAUGGACAGCCUUAUCUACGGAGCAAAUUCCAGGACAGCGAAGGCUACACAGAGAAACCAUGUCUAGAAAAACCAGUAAAUAAAUUCUCUCACUGAACCUGUGACUCAGCUAUUCAGCUAGACUGGCUAGCCAACAAGACCAGGGAUCCUCCUGUCUCUACCUCCCGGUGCUGAAAUAACAGGAUCCUGUGAUCUUUUCUCUACGUGGUGACAUCAUCUCCCUGGAACAACAGCCUAGAAGCAGUAGUGGUGGAAAGGGAAAAGGAAGAGAAGAAAAAUUCCUUAAAACAUGAACCUGAAGAGACAAGGGCAAUCAUUAUUAUGAGAAGAUAGAAACCAGUAGGCUGCCGGGCGUUGGUGGCGCACACCUUUAGUCCCAGCACUCAGAAGGUAGAGGCAGGAGGAUCUCUGUGAAUUUGAG
Molecule: long non-coding RNA, 725 nt
Filed under: Cricetulus griseus (Chinese hamster)
Lineage: Eukaryota; Metazoa; Chordata; Mammalia; Rodentia; Cricetidae
Description: lncRNA (ENSCGRG00015034108.1)
Source: RNAcentral